Molecule: long non-coding RNA, 1324 nt
Organism: Erinaceus europaeus (western European hedgehog)
Lineage: Eukaryota; Metazoa; Chordata; Mammalia; Eulipotyphla; Erinaceidae
Exons: 2
Source: RefSeq, a predicted model, not a curated record
CACACGCCAGUGCGCUCACACACACUCGCCAGUACGCUCACACACACACACACGCCAGUGCGCUCAGACACAUACACGCGCCAGUGCGCUCAGACACACACACACACACACGCCAGUGCACUCAGACACACACGCCAUUGCACUCACACACACACACAUGCCAGUGUGCUCAGACACACGCCAGUGCGCUCACACACACACACACACCAGUGCGCUCACACACACAUGCCAGUGCGCUCAGACACACACACACGCACACACACAUACACAUGAGUCAGUACGCUCACACGCACACACACACACACGAGCCAAUGCGCUCAGAUGCACACGCGCACACACGCACACCCACGAGCCAGUGCGCUCAGACACACAUGCACACACACACACCAGUGCGCUCACACACACACACCAGUGCACUCACACGCCAGUGUGCUCACACACACACGCCAGUGUGCUCAGACAUACACGCCAGUGCGCUCAGACACACACACGCCAGUGCGCUCACACACACACACGUGCCAGUGCGCUCAGACACACACACACACGUCAGUGCGCUCAGACACACACACGCCAGUGCGCUCACACACACACACACGCCAGUGCACUCAAACACACACACGCCAGUGCGCUCAGACACACGCCAGUACACACACACCAGUGCGCUCACACACACAUGCCAGUGUGCUCACACACACACACACACACACGCCAGUGUGCUCAGACACACACACACACACACGCCAGUGCGCUCAGACACACACACACACACACGCCCAGGUUGAGCACACAUUGCAGUGUACAAGGACCCCAGUUCAAGCCCCAAUGCCCACCUGCAGGGGGAAAGCUUUACGAGUGGUGAAGCAGGGCUGCAAGUCUCGCUUUGUCUUUCUCCUUCUCUGUCUCCUCUCUCAGUUUCUCUCUGUUUUGCCUAAUUAAGAAAUAAUAAUGUGGGGCCAGGUGGUGGUGCACAUGGGUGGGCACACAUGUUGCAGAGCACAAGGACCCAGGUUCAAGCCCCUGAUCCCCACCUGCAGGGGGAAAGCUUCGCAAGUGGUGAAGCAGGGCUGCAGGUGUCUCCCUCUUCUAUUUCCUUCUUCCCUCUGGACUUCUGGCUGCUUCAUUCCAAUAAAUAAAUAAAGGUAAUAAAAAUAUAUAGUUUUGAAAGAAAGGAUACUGUGGUCUGGGAGAUGGCACAGUUACAGAGCCCUGGACUCUCAGGCAUGAGGUCCCAAGUUCAGUCCCUGGCAGCGCAUGUACCAGAGUGAUGUCUGGUUCUUCCUUUCCUCUUAUCUUUACCAUUAAUAAAUAGUAAAAACUUUAAAAA